Molecule: non-coding RNA, 91 nt
Organism: Vicugna pacos (alpaca)
Lineage: Eukaryota; Metazoa; Chordata; Mammalia; Artiodactyla; Camelidae
Source: RefSeq, a predicted model, not a curated record
GUUGCAGGAGAAACUCAUACUCUGGUUUCUCAUUCUGUUUCCUCGUGCCAGUAUGAAGUUCCAGCUGUUUUCACUGUAAAACCUUGUUGGA